This 262-nucleotide ribosomal RNA is filed under the name uncultured bacterium. RNAcentral describes it as "partial 16S ribosomal RNA". It matches the Rfam family "Bacterial small subunit ribosomal RNA", at positions 514 to 775 of the family's 1533-position model. The record is from RNAcentral.
GCCGCGGUAAUACGGAGGGUGCAAGCGUUAAUCGGAAUUACUGGGCGUAAAGCGUACGUAGGUGGCUGCUUAAGUCGGAUGUGAAAGCCCUGGGCUCAACCUGGGAAUUGCAUUCGAUACUGAGCGGCUAGAGUACGAUAGAGGGAGGUAGAAUUCCACGUGUAGCGGUGAAAUGCGUAGAUAUGUGGAGGAAUACCGGUGGCGAAGGCGGCCUCCUGGAUUGAUACUGACACUGAGGUGCGAAAGCGUGGGGAGCAAACAG